This 1336-nucleotide ribosomal RNA is filed under the name uncultured bacterium. RNAcentral describes it as "bacterial SSU rRNA". It matches the Rfam family "Bacterial small subunit ribosomal RNA", at positions 28 to 1381 of the family's 1533-position model. The record is from RNAcentral.
GAUGAACGCUGGCGGCGCGCCUAACACAUGCAAGUCGAACGGCACCCCUCUCCGGAGGGAAGCGAGCGGCGAACGGCUGAGUAACACGUGGAGAACCUGCCCCCUCCCCCGGGAUAGCCGCCCGAAAGGACGGGUAAUACCGGAUACCCCCGGGGUGCCGCAUGGCACCCCGGCUAAAGCCCCGACGGGAGGGGAUGGCUCCGCGGCCCAUCAGGUAGACGGCGGGGUGACGGCCCACCGUGCCGACAACGGGUAGCCGGGUUGAGAGACCGACCGGCCAGAUUGGGACUGAGACACGGCCCAGACUCCUACGGGAGGCAGCAGUGGGGAAUCUUGCGCAAUGGGGGGAACCCUGACGCAGCGACGCCGCGUGCGGGACGGAGGCCUUCGGGUCGUAAACCGCUUUCAGCAGGGAAGAGUCAAGACUGUACCUGCAGAAGAAGCCCCGGCUAACUACGUGCCAGCAGCCGCGGUAAUACGUAGGGGGCGAGCGUUAUCCGGAUUCAUUGGGCGUAAAGCGCGCGUAGGCGGCCCGGCAGGCCGGGUUCCAAAACCCGGGGGGCUCAACCCCCCGAAGCCCCCGGAACCUCCGCGGCUUGGGUCCGGUAGGGGAGGGUGGAACACCCGGUGUAGCGGUGGAAUGCGCAGAUAUCGGGUGGAACGCUCGUGGCGAAGGCGGGUUCCUGGACAUUAACUGACGCUGAGGCACGAAGGCCAGGGGAGCGAAAGGGAUUAGAUACCCCUGUAGUCCUGGCAGUAAACGGUGCACGCUUGGUGUGCGGGGAAUCGACCCCCUGCGUGCCGGAGCUAACGCGUUAAGCGUGCCGCCUGGGGAGUACGGUCGCAAGAUUAAAACUCAAAGAAAUUGACGGGGACCCGCACAAGCGGUGGAGUAUGUGGCUUAAUUCGAUGCAACGCGAAGAACCUUACCUGGGCUUGACAUGUAAUGAACAACAUGUGAAAGCAUGCGACUCUUCGGAGGCGUUACACAGGUGCUGCAUGGCCGUCGUCAGCUCGUGUCGUGAGAUGUUUGGUUAAGUCCAGCAACGAGCGCAACCCCUGUUGCCAGUUACCAGCACGUGAAGGUGGGGACUCUGGCGAGACUGCCCAGAUCAACUGGGAGGAAGGUGGGGACGACGUCAGGUCAGUAUGGCCCUUAUGCCCAGGGCUGCACACGUACUACAAUGCCCAGUACAGAGGGGGCCGAAGCCGCGAGGCGGAGGAAAUCCUGAAAACUGGGCCCAGUUCGGACUGUAGGCUGCAACCCGCCUACACGAAGCCGGAAUCGCUAGUAAUGGCGCAUCAGCUACGGCGCCGUGAAUACGUUCCCGGGUCU